This 460-nucleotide ribosomal RNA is filed under the name uncultured bacterium. RNAcentral's name for it is "partial 16S ribosomal RNA". It matches the Rfam family "Bacterial small subunit ribosomal RNA", at positions 338 to 795 of the family's 1533-position model. The record is from RNAcentral.
CCUACGGGUGGCUGCAGUGAGGAAUAUUGGUCAAUGGACGAGAGUCUGAACCAGCCAAGUAGCGUGAAGGAUGACUGCCCUAUGGGUUGUAAACUUCUUUUAUAUGGGAAUAAAACGUUCCACGUGUGGGAUUUUGUAUGUACCAUAUGAAUAAGGAUCGGCUAACUCCGGGCCAGCAGCCGCGGUAAUACGGAGGAUCCGAGCGUUAGCCGGAUUUAUUGGGUUUAAAGGGAGCGUAGGGGGAUUGUUAAGUCAGUUGUGAAAGUUUGCGGCUCAACCGUAAAAUUGCAGUUGAAACUGGCAGUCUUGAGUACAGUAGAGGUGGGCGGAAUUCGUGGUGUAGCGGUGAAAUGCUUAGAUAUCACGAAGAACUCCGAUUGCGAAGGCAGUUCACUGGACUGCAACUGACACUGAGGCUCGAAAGUGUGGGUAUCAAACAGGAUUAGAUACCCCUGUAGUC